GAUGAACGCUAGCGGCAGGCUUAAUACAUGCAAGUCGAGGGGCAGCACGGUAUAGCAAUAUAUGGGUGGCGACCGGCAAACGGGUGCGGAACACGUACACAACCUUCCGGUGGGCGGGGGAUAGCCCAGAGAAAUUUGGAUUAAUACCCCAUACUAUAAUGAUCAGGCAUCUGGUUAUUAUCAAAGGCUUCGGCCGCUUAUUGAUGGGUGUGCGUCUGAUUAGGUAGUUGGCGGGGUAGAGGCCCACCAAGCCUACGAUCAGUAGCUGAUGUGAGAGCAUGAUCAGCCACACGGGCACUGAGACACGGGCCCGACUCCUACGGGAGGCAGCAGUAAGGAAUAUUGGACAAUGGACGCAAGUCUGAUCCAGCCAUGCCGCGUGAAGGAUGAAUGCCCUCUGGGUUGUAAACUUCUUUUACAGGGGAAGAAAGUUAUCUUUUUUAGGAUAUUUGACGGUACCCUAUGAAUAAGCACCGGCUAACUCCGUGCCAGCAGCCGCGGUAAUACGGAGGGUGCAAGCGUUAUCCGGAUUCACUGGGUUUAAAGGGUGCGUAGGCGGGUAUGUAAGUCAGUGGUGAAAUACCGGAGCUUAACUUCGGAACUGCCAUUGAUACUAUAUAUCUUGAAUAUUGUGGAGGUAAGCGGAAUAUGUCAUGUAGCGGUGAAAUGCUUAGGGAUGACAUAGAACACCGGUUGCGAAGGCAGCUUACUACGCAAAUAUUGACGCUGAGGCACGAAAGCGUGGGGAUCAAACAGGAUUAGAUACCCUGGUAGUCCACGCCCUAAACGAUGAUUACUCGACAUUAGCGAUACACAGUUAGUGUCUGAGCGAAA
RNAcentral lists this ribosomal RNA (834 nucleotides) under uncultured bacterium. Its description in RNAcentral is "bacterial SSU rRNA". It matches the Rfam family "Bacterial small subunit ribosomal RNA", at positions 28 to 856 of the family's 1533-position model. The record is from RNAcentral.